AUGGGGAUAGCUUUUCCCAUGGUGUUGGUUCUCUCUCUGCUCCUGUACACUAAUGGCAUCUCCAAGAGCUUAGCUGCAAGGCCUCCAGUUGUGAAUAUUGGGUCUAUUCUUCAAUUGAACUCCACCACUGGAGGUGUUGCGGCGAUUGCCAUCAAUGCAGCCUUGGAGGAUAUCAACUCUGAUCCAACAGUUCUAAAUGGAACAACGUUAAAGGUUGAAACCAAGGAUACAAAUUGCUUUGAUGGUUUCCUUGGCAUGGUUCAAGCUUUGCAGUUCAUGGAGACUGAUGUUAUUGCAAUCGUUGGCCCCCAGUGCUCCGCAAUUGCUCAUAUCAUUUCAUAUGUAGCAAAUGAGCUCCGAGUCCCCUUGAUGUCCUUUGCGUCUGAUGCUACUCUUUCAUCGAUACAGUUCCCAUUCUUUGUCAGGACUGCUCCCAGUGAUCUCUAUCAAAUGGCAGCUGUGGCAGCAGUUGUGGACUACAACCACUGGAAGAUAGUGACUGCCAUAUAUGUUGAUGAUGAUUAUGGUCGAAAUGGCAUUGCUGCUUUGGAUGACGCACUCACUGCGAAGCGCUGCAAAAUCUCCUACAAGAUUGGAUUUCCUGCAAAUGCUAAAAAGAGUGAGCUCAUUAAUUUGUUGGUUAGUGUCAGUUAUAUGGAGUCUCGUGUUAUCAUCCUCCAUACUGGUGCUGAACCUGGACUCAAGCUUUUCUCUAUGGCAAACCGGCUAAACAUGAUGGGCAAUGGCUAUGUAUGGAUUGCAACCGACUGGCUUUCUGCAUAUCUUGAUGCUAAUUCAUCAGUUCCUGCUGAGACUAUAUCUGGUAUGCAAGGUGUUCUUACUUUACGGCCACAUAUCCCCAACUCAAAGAUGAAGAGUAAUUUGAUCUCCAAGUGGAGCAGACAAAGUCAGAAGUACAACCAUAGUGAUCUUCGUGUAAAUACUUAUGGUUUUUAUGUUUAUGAUAGUGUAUGGACAGUAGCUCGGGCUCUGGAUGCCUUCUUCGAUGAUGGUGGUAGCAUUUCCUUCUCAAAUGACUCGCGGUUGCGUGAUGCAACUGGGGGAACUCUUCACCUUGAAGCAAUGAGUAUUUUUGACAAGGGAAGGAAAUUAUUGGAGAAGAUUAGAAAGGUAAACUUCACUGGGCCGUCUGGGCACGUGCAAUUCGAUGCUUCAGGUGACCUCAUUCAUCCUGCAUAUGAGAUCAUAAAUGUCAUCGGAAAUGGCAUGCGGACCAUUGGUUUUUGGUCAAACUAUUCUGGCUUGUUGUCAACUGUCCCUCCAGAGGCUCUAUAUUCAAAGCCCCCAAAUACUUCUCUAGCCAAUCAGCAACUCUAUGAUGUUAUUUGGCCUGGGGAGACUGCACAGAGGCCUCGAGGAUGGGUUUUUCCUUCUAAUGCCAAGGAGUUAAAAAUUGGUAUUCCCAACAGAUUCAGCUUCAGGGAGUUUGUCACGAAAGACAAUGUUACCGGGUCAAUGAAGGGUUAUUGCAUCGAUGUCUUUACUCAGGCAUUGGCUUUGCUUCCUUAUCCUGUUACCUACAAGUUCGUACCUUUUGGGAGUGGUACUGAAAAUCCUCAUUAUGACAAACUCAUAGAGAUGGUUGAAUCAAAUGAGCUUGAUGGAGCUGUAGGGGAUAUCGCAGUUACAAUGAAGCGCACAGUAAAUGCUGAUUUCACCCAGCCUUUCAUUGAAACAGGAUUGGUUAUCUUGGCUCCGGUUAAAAGGCAUAUAACAACGUCCUGGGCAUUCUUGCAGCCAUUUACUUUGGAGAUGUGGUGUGUUACAGGGUUGUUCUUUCUUGUUGUGGGUGUGGUUGUUUGGGUUCUUGAACAUCGAAUCAAUGAUGAGUUCCGCGGCUCGCCACGACAACAAAUGAUAACUAUUUUCUGGUUCAGCUUUUCGACUUUGUUCUUUGCACACAGAGAAAAUACUAUGAGCACCUUAGGGCGCGGCGUGUUAAUCAUAUGGCUGUUUGUUGUUUUGAUCAUUCAAUCCAGCUAUACCGCGAGUCUUACUUCCAUCCUGACCGUGCAACAACUUGAUACUUCUAUAAAAGGAAUUGAUGACCUGAAAAAUAGUGAUGCUCCUGUUGGUUUCCAAGUUGGUUCUUUUGCACAAGACUACAUGGUUAAUGAACUGAACAUCUCACGGUCAAGGCUACGAGCUCUCGGUUCCCCAAAAGAAUAUGCUAAAGCCCUCGAGCUUGGCCCUAAGAAAGGAGGUGUUAUGGCCAUCGUUGACGAGCGCCCCUAUGUUGAACUGUUUUUGUCAACUUACUGCAAGAUUGCGGUAGCCGGCUCAGAUUUCACCAGCAGAGGAUGGGGCUUUGCAUUUCCAAGGGACUCCCCGCUGCAAGUGGACCUGUCGACCGCGAUCCUGUCACUGUCAGAGAACGGGGAGCUGCAGCGGAUCCACGACAAGUGGCUCAAGACAGGCGAGUGCGCAGCCGACGAAAGCGAGAUGAUCAACUCGAACCAGCUCCGCCUCGAGAGCUUCUGGGGCCUGUUCCUCAUCUGCGGCGUGGCGUGCGUCAUCUCGCUGCUCAUCUACUUCGGCAUCAUGCUGCGCAAGUACAUGAGGCACGAGCCGAAGAAGAGCCUCCGGAGGUUCAUCUCGUUCGUCGACGACAAGGAGCCGCCGAAGAACCGGAAGAAGCGGUCCAUGAGCCUGCCUGCGAGCUCGACGGCCACCGCGCCGAUGACCGCCCUCGACGUAGAGAGGCCGGCCCGGCCCGUCAGGAACGGCAGCGUCAUCGAUAUAGAAGGCUAG
RNAcentral lists this ribosomal RNA (2772 nucleotides) under Triticum aestivum (bread wheat). RNAcentral describes it as "partial small subunit ribosomal RNA". Lineage: Eukaryota; Viridiplantae; Streptophyta; Magnoliopsida; Poales; Poaceae. The record is from RNAcentral.